GUCUACGACCAUACCACGUUGAAAGCACCAGUUCUCGUCCGAUCACUGAAGUUAAGCAACGUCGGGCUCGGUUAGUACUUGGAUGGGUGACCGCCUGGGAACACCGAGUGCUGUAGACU
This 119-nucleotide ribosomal RNA is filed under the name Lottia gigantea (owl limpet). Lineage: Eukaryota; Metazoa; Mollusca; Gastropoda; Lottiidae. The record is from RNAcentral.